This 772-nucleotide ribosomal RNA is filed under the name uncultured bacterium. Its description in RNAcentral is "bacterial SSU rRNA". It matches the Rfam family "Bacterial small subunit ribosomal RNA", at positions 8 to 803 of the family's 1533-position model. The record is from RNAcentral.
AGAGUUUGAUCCUGGCUCAGGAUGAACGCUAGCGGCAGGCCUAAUACAUGCAAGUCGAACGGAGGCAGCCCUCGGGCUGCUUUAGUGGCAAACGGGUGCGUAACGCGUAAGCAACCUGCCCACUACCGGGGGAUAGCCUGGCGAAAGCCGGGGUAAACCCCCAUAGUUCCCUUGUCUCACCUGGGGUGAGGGAUAAACAUUGAUGGGUUGUGGAGGGGCUUGCGUCUGAUUAGGUAGUUGGCGGGGUAGUGGCCCACCAAGCCAUUGAUCAGUAGGGGUUCUGAGAGGAUUGGCCCCCACAUGGGUACUGAGAUACGGACCCAACUCCUACGGGAGGCAGCAGUAGGGAAUAUUGGGCAAUGGGCGCAAGCCUGACCCAGCCAUGCCGCGUGGAGGAUGAAGGCGCUCAGCGUCGUAAACUCCUUUUAUCUACGAAGAACAGCAGCGAUGCGUCGUUGUGUGACGGUAGUAGAGGAAUAAGCACCGGCUAACUCCGUGCCAGCAGCCGCGGUAAUACGGAGGGUGCAAGCGUUGUCCGGAUUUAUUGGGUUUAAAGGGUGCGUAGGUGGCGUUUUAAGUCUGGUUUGAAAGCAGGCGGCUCAACCGUGUGAUGUGGCUGGAAACUGGGGCGCUUGAAUGAGUUGGCGGUAGCCGGAAAGGGUUAUGUACCGGUGAAAUGCAUAAAUAUGACCCGAGCCCCGAUUGCGAGGCAGCCAAUAUAAUGAUGACCUGAGCACAAACCUGGUACACAGAUAAUCCUGUANUAGGCAAU